RNAcentral lists this ribosomal RNA (658 nucleotides) under Enterobacter sp. Its description in RNAcentral is "bacterial SSU rRNA". It matches the Rfam family "Bacterial small subunit ribosomal RNA", at positions 94 to 748 of the family's 1533-position model. The record is from RNAcentral. Lineage: Bacteria; Pseudomonadati; Pseudomonadota; Gammaproteobacteria; Enterobacterales; Enterobacteriaceae.
AGCGGCGGACGGGUGAGUAAUGUCUGGGAAACUGCCUGAUGGAGGGGGAUAACUACUGGAAACGGUAGCUAAUACCGCAUAACGUCGCAAGACCAAAGAGGGGGACCUUCGGGCCUCUUGCCAUCAGAUGUGCCCAGAUGGGAUUAGCUAGUAGGUGGGGUAACGGCUCACCUAGGCGACGAUCCCUAGCUGGUCUGAGAGGAUGACCAGCCACACUGGAACUGAGACACGGUCCAGACUCCUACGGGAGGCAGCAGUGGGGAAUAUUGCACAAUGGGCGCAAGCCUGAUGCAGCCAUGCCGCGUGUAUGAAGAAGGCCUUCGGGUUGUAAAGUACUUUCAGCGGGGAGGAAGGCGAUAAGGUUAAUAACCUUGUCGAUUGACGUUACCCGCAGAAGAAGCACCGGCUAACUCCGUGCCAGCAGCCGCGGUAAUACGGAGGGUGCAAGCGUUAAUCGGAAUUACUGGGCGUAAAGCGCACGCAGGCGGUCUGUCAAGUCGGAUGUGAAAUCCCCGGGCUCAACCUGGGAACUGCAUUCGAAACUGGCAGGCUAGAGUCUUGUAGAGGGGGGUAGAAUUCCAGGUGUAGCGGUGAAAUGCGUAGAGAUCUGGAGGAAUACCGGUGGCGAAGGCGGCCCCCUGGACAAAGACUGACGCUC